UUGUGCUGUGGGAAAAACAAAACAAAGAGACAGAAGAGUUAAAACUUUGCAGAGGCUUGUUUGAAACCUGACCAGUAAUGACCACAAUAAGCAGAGGUGCCCUCCACCCUCAGAAGGCCACUUUCUCUCUGAACACCAAGAAACAAGAACACGGAAUCCUGCCAGAGAUGAGACUGUCUGAAGGACAAAAGACAUGCUAAGUUGGUUUUGUUGUUAUGAGUUUCAAACUUAAGGUCCUGGCUCACUGAAAACUGCAUCUCCAUCCUCCUUCAUAACAUCUUCCCCGGCAUGUAUGGACACGAAGAGGUGCUCCUUGAGGGAUAUUAAUUGGAAUCCAUCCCUUACUUGUGAAACCUUCACCUCUGCGCUGGCCUCAGCCCUAGGGUGACCAGGAAAACAAGUGAAUAUCAUUCUCCAUCGAAUGGAAUUAAGUGCUCUCAUCUCAAAUGAGCCUCGAACUUCAGCAUAGUGUGGCCAUUUUCAGUUAGCAGCC
This is a long non-coding RNA of Mus caroli (Ryukyu mouse), 493 nucleotides long. RefSeq lists it as uncharacterized. NCBI's taxonomy places the organism in Eukaryota, Metazoa, Chordata, Mammalia, Rodentia, Muridae. The record is from RefSeq and is a predicted model, not a curated record.